UAUGAAACAUCUAGGUAUGGAUUGCUUCCAUUUUGUCCUGUCAGAGUUUUUGAACUUCUUAGAGAUAAAGACAAAUGUUUUCCAUCCAAUUGGGGAAGUUUUUGUCAUUAUUUUUUCAAAUAUACUUUCCACUCCUUUUUUCUUUUUGUUCCUCAGAUUGGAGAAGCUCAAGUGACCUGUCUUUAACUUGACUGAUUCUUUUAUCUGCCAAUUCAAAUAUGCUACUAAGCGCCUUUACGAAAUGUUUCAUACCUAUUAUUGCCCUUUUCAACUCCAAAAUGUCCAUUUGAUUUUUUUUUUCCUAACUGCACUGGGCGAAAGUACCCCUUUCACAUUUAAAUUCCAACUUUCUAUUUCAUUCUUUUUUAUAAUUUCUAUCUCUUCAUAUAUAUUAUCUUAGGUAAAACAUGACUCUGAAACUUUGCUUUAAUUAUUUAGAUGUAAUUUAUUUCUUUGAAAUGUUUGUAAUUGGUAUAAGGUAUUUGUCUAGUAAGACCAAUAUCUGGGCUUCUUCAGAGACAAUUUUUUGACUUUUUUUCCUAUGUAUGAGCCAUACUUCACUGUUUCUUUGUAUGUCUUAUAAUUUUUGUUGGGAACUAGACAUUUAAAAUAAUGUGACAGUUAAAGAAAAUUAUAUUCCUUCCUACCCCCUGGAUUUGUACAGUCUCUAUUCUUUGAAGCCUUUUCAGCUAGCAGUGGUCAGUUACUGUUUGGUCGGAGGUUUCUUUAAAUGCCUUUCAGCUUUUGCUCAGGGUGUGUGUGUGUGUGUGUGUGUGUGUUCAAACAUGAAAGAUUAGGGCCUUCUCAGGUCUUCCUGCACAUUCACACAACUCACACAUACGUAUAACCUUCUAAAUUCCCAGAACUAUGUCAGAACAUUCAAUGCCCCUUAUGGACAUUUCAUUCCUCAGUUUUUCCUUUUGAGUAUUUUGAUCAGCUGCUUAUUAGCUACAACUAGUACAACUCCCUCAGGCAACUGCAGUGUUAAACAAUUGCUAUUGCCUGUUUUCAGCAAAUAUGCUGCAGAUGGCACUAUACACAUAGAGUGAAUCCUGAGUCUUAUCAAAUAAAGACAGUUCCCAAGAAUGGAGAUUUUUGGCAUGCUGCCGGGCAGGCAAAUAGUGAUAGUUUUCUGGGGAUGGAGUUUUGGGGGAACUUCAAAUCUAUUCUGGCUUCUCCAGUAUUCUGGCUUGGCUUUUGGGUUUCCUAACUACCAUCAUUGCACGGUUUUGGUUUUUCAAGGCUAGUCUGGGGCUGGGGUUGGGGUGAUUGGAUUAGGGCAUGUUAAGAUGCUAUAAAGCUUGAUGUUCUUGCUAAGAGUCAGCUGGUUUUCUUGAAUGAAUAUUCCUUGGAUUGUUUCAGCCCUUUAGUAAACUUCCAGAAUGCUGGGAAAAAUUAAUUUUGAAAGUAUUUGCAGUACUCUUUUCAAAAUUCUUUUGUCAAAGUACAGUUGAUGUACAAUAUUAUAUAAGUUAUAGGUGUACAAUAUAGAGAUUCAUAGUUUUUAAAGGUUAUACUCCAUUUAGAGUUAUUAUAAAAUAUUGGGUGUAUUCCCUAUGUUGUAAAAUAUAUCCUUAUAACUUAUUUUAUGCAUAAUAUUAUUGCCUUACUCCUAUAUUGCUCCUUCUCUCUUCCUUCUCCCUACUGGUAACCAUUAGUUUGGACUUAUUUCAGUUAGUGUAAUGUCCAUCCAUGUUGUUGCAGAUGGCAAAAUUUCAUUUUAUUUUAUGACUGAGUAGUGUGUGUGUGUGUGUGUCACAGCUUCCUUAUUUGUUGAUAGAGACAUGGUUGUUGUAAAUAAUGCUGCUAUGAACAUUUUUGAAUUAGUGUUUUCAUUUUCUUUGGAUAUAUGCCAAGAGUAGAAUUGCUGGGUCAUGUGGUAGUUCUGUUUUCAGGGUUUUGUUAUUGUUGUUGUUGUGUGUGUGAUUUGGGGAGGGGGGCACAGCCAGGCCAGGGAUUGAACCUGUGUCACUGCUGCUGCAGUGACAAUAAGGGAUCCUUACCCUGCUGUGCCAUAAGGGAACUCCCUAUUUUCAGUUUUUUGGAGAAAUCUCCAUACUUUUCUCCACAGUGACUGCACCAAUGUACAUCCCCUCCUACAGUAUACAAGAGUUCCCCUUUCUUGAUAUCCUCACCAACAUUUGUUAUUUGUGUUCUUUUUGAUGACAGCCAUUCUGACAAGUGUGAGGUGAUAGCUUGCGGUUUUACUUUGCAUCUCCCUGAUAAUUAGUGAUGUUGACAUCUUCUCAUUUGCCUGUAGGCUAUCUGCAUUUCCUCUAUGUUUCCUAUAUAAAAAUGUCUAUAUUCAGGUCUUCUGCCCAUUUUUUAAGUGGUUUGUGUUUUUUGAUGUUGGGUUGAGUGAGCUGUUUAUAUGUUUUGGAUACUAACCCCUUAUCCGUUGUGUCAUCUGCAGACAUUUUCUCCUAUUCAGUAGGUUAUCUUUUCAUUUGACAGUAUUUGCCAGUAUUGUUGCUUUUAUGGAGGAACAGAUUUUCAAAUGUCCUUCCUCUGCCACUCUGGAAGUGCCACUUCCCAUUCCUGUAUAUUUUUAUCAGCAUCCUGCUUCCAGUUUCUGAUCCAUCUUCUCAUUAUUUGCCUUUCUCUUGUAUGUUUCAGCUGGACCCUUGGAACUUUGGUUCCAUGGCUAACAUACUUACAUUCUCAGUUAUCCACUGACUGUUACCUCCCUUUCUUGCCAGGCAGCCCUUUCAGGGACUGAUUCUCUCACAUGUCACGUAAUAAAAAUCCUCUUCCUCCAUUAAAUAUUAGUAUUCCUCAAGUUUCUGGCCUACCUCCCUUCUCUUGUCUGCCUAUACCUCUCAGUAUUCUUACCCAGUUGCUGCUGAUACUCUCAAAUCUGUGGUCUUAUCUAGCCCAGAUCCCUGUCUUAAGCUCUACAUCUGAAUCUAAUUGUGCUUAAUAUAAAUCUUCAUUUGGAAUUUCUACAGGCAUGUAAACUUCCUCAAGUUCAAAACAAAUCAGUUUAUUUUUCCUUCUCGGUUUUCUUUGAGUGACAUUCCCAUUUAUCCAGUUGCCUAAGCCACAAAUUUGGGUCAGUUUUUAUUCUUUCUCCUUUACCCUACCUCCAAAUUGUAGUCAGUUACCUUUCCACUCUGUGCCCUAAAUCUUUCUUUACUUAGGUUUUCUGCAUCUCUACUGAUGUCUUGCUGGAAUUACUCCAGUAGCCUCCUAUAAAGAGAUCUUCCCGUUAUUGUUCUGUCCCCAUCGUCUUCACAAUGUAUCCACAAGGGACUUUAUAAAAUGCAAAUCCACCACAGUUCACAGAGUCCACAUGCACACCCCAGUUAUACUUUUCCCUUCUCUCCAUUGCAUUCCUUGCUCCAUCCUAAUGGCCUUUUCCCUAUUUCUGGACUGUGUCAUGUUCUGGUUUGCUUUCAGGUGUUUGUAUAUAUCUCAGUGUUCUUUCUCACUUUGCUCUUUGGUUAUUUUCUCAGGGAAGCCUUCCUGUAUUGUCACAAACUGAGCUAGAUACUUCAGUAUAGAAUUACCACACUGUAAUUGCCUAUUUGCUCAUCUUUAUCUCCCAGUAGAAUCACAAGUCCGUGAGAUUAGGGACUGUGAUCACAAGAAGUUUAUGGCCUAGCACAUAACACUGGAUUUCUACAAAUUAUUUGGUGAAUAAGAAGUAUGCCUACAUAUAUGAAUGAAGGAGCCAACCAUGUUCAGCACUGAGAAUACAGAGAUAUAUUAGCCAAAUUAUCAGUGAAAUAGACCUUUGUAACAUCUGGCAUUUAAGGGAUAUAGCUGUAUUAGUAAUGUGGGAUUAGUAACUGAAAUGAUUCUAAAUUUCUGUAUACUUCAGUUGAAGAAAUAAAAUGACAUGAAUGUAUGUGAGACCCCAAAGCAUUAUUUAAAAAUGAAAGGAGAAAAUGAAGAGAAACCAUUCAACAGGAAGUUAUAUACAUUUGCCCUUUGUGAAGUUAGUAAUUAGUUUUUGUUCUGUUGUGUUUUUAAUUUCUGGUCAUUGAGAAGUAGGUGUUUUCUUCCUCCUUGCCUUUCUUGUACACAAAUUGUAUACAAUUUGUAUAUUUAUUAAAUAUAUACAAGCCAAAAAAAUCGCCCAUUUGGUUUAGUGUAUUAUGUAUAGUUUCAUAACUGAAAUAAAUCUAGCACCAGAAAUAAAUAUAUCAUAAACAUCUCUUUAUUCUCAGAAAUACACAUCAAUACAAUCUGGUGCUGAGGUCAGCAAGUUUUUUCUUUAUAGGGCUAUUUAGUAUUUGAGACUUUGAGGGCUAAAAGCAGCCAUAGACCAUUCCAAAUGGGUGUGGUUUAUUCCAAUAAAACUUUAUUUACAAUAACAGUUGUCAAGCAAGAUUUUGUAUGAGAGCCAUAGAUCUGGUCUGUGUUAUAGAUAUACCAUAAUUACUUAAUCUCCUAUUUGGGGAAAUUUAUUAUCUUAAUCUUUUUACUAUUAUUAGUUAUAUUAGUAUCUUAAUAUCUAAAUCUUUAUGUACAUUCUUACGUUUUUCCUUAGCAUAAGGAUCUGGAUUUGCCACAGGUGUGGCGCAAAUCAAAACUGCAGUGUGGUUUUGAUCCCUGAUCUGGGAACUUCCACAUGCUAUGGGUGUGGCCAAAAAAAAAAUUUUUUUAAAUGAGAAUCGGUGAUAUAACAGUUGCUUUCUAACUGUGACUAUGAGGAGUUUUGUUUGGUUCUUGUUGUGGUUUGUGGUUUUUGUGGGUACGGGGAAAGAAAGAUGGAGUGAAACUUUAGAUAGAAGCAUAUAAAGAUUAGAGGGGAACAUUGAGUUAAUGCUAGUAAUAUAAAACUUAAAAAGAAAUGUUCCAUGAAGAAGAAAAUAUGAAAAAUUUCAUAAAUAUAAAUUUUCCACCAACUUUCUGUUCAUCUGUUUGAUGACUCUAUAGAGUUUUGCUUAAAAUCUUGUGUAGAUUGGGACUGGGGAGAUGGAGUUUGCAAAUUACAAAAUGAGCACUUCUUAUUCAGUCUUGUAAGAUACUCUUAGGCCAGCAUGAUUUUGAUUAUGAUUACCCACCAGCUUGUUUU
RNAcentral lists this long non-coding RNA (5023 nucleotides) under Sus scrofa (pig). RNAcentral describes it as "lncRNA (ENSSSCG00005035758.1)". Lineage: Eukaryota; Metazoa; Chordata; Mammalia; Artiodactyla; Suidae. The record is from RNAcentral.